CGGUUAAGUUAGAAAGGGCGCACGGUGGAUGCCUUGGCACUAGGAGCCGAUGAAGGACGGGACGAACACCGAUAUGCUUCGGGGAGCUGUAAGCAAGCUUUGAUCCGGAGAUUUCCGAAUGGGGAAACCCACCACUCGUAAUGGAGUGGUAUCCAUAUCUGAAUACAUAGGAUAUGAGAAGGCAGACCCGGGGAACUGAAACAUCUAAGUACCCGGAGGAAGAGAAAGCAAAUGCGAUUCCCUGAGUAGCGGCGAGCGAAACGGGACCAGCCCAAACCAAGAGGCUUGCCUCUUGGGGUUGUAGGACACUCUGUACGGAGUUACAAAGGAACGAGGUAGAUGAAGAGGUCUGGAAAGGCCCGCCAUAGAAGGUAACAGCCCUGUAGUCAAAACUUCGUUCUCUCCUGAGUGGAUCCUGAGUACGGCGGAACACGUGAAAUUCCGUCGGAAUCCGGGAGGACCAUCUCCCAAGGCUAAAUACUCCCUAGUGACCGAUAGUGAACCAGUACCGUGAGGGAAAGGUGAAAAGCACCCCGGAAGGGGAGUGAAAGAGAUCCUGAAACCGUGUGCCUACAAGUAGUCAGAGCCCGUUAACGGGUGAUGGCGUGCCUUUUGUAGAAUGAACCGGCGAGUUACGAUCCCGUGCAAGGUUAAGCAGAAGAUGCGGAGCCGCAGCGAAAGCGAGUCUGAAUAGGGCGAAUUGAGUACGUGGUCGUAGACCCGAAACCAGGUGAUCUACCCAUGUCCAGGGUGAAGUUCAGGUAACACUGAAUGGAGGCCCGAACCCACGCACGUUGAAAAGUGCGGGGAUGAGGUGUGGGUAGGGGUGAAAUGCCAAUCGAACCUGGAGAUAGCUGGUUCUCUCCGAAAUAGCUUUAGGGCUAGCCUCAAGGUAAGAGUCUCGGAGGUAGAGCACUGAUUGGACUAGGGGCCCCUACCGGGUUACCGAAUUCAGUCAAACUCCGAAUGCCGAUGACUUAUCCUUGGGAGUCAGACUGCGAGUGAUAAGAUCCGUAGUCGAAAGGGAAACAGCCCAGACCGCCAGCUAAGGUCCCAAAGUAUACGUUAAGUGGAAAAGGAUGUGGAGUUGCUUAGACAACCAGGAUGUUGGCUUAGAAGCAGCCACCAUUUAAAGAGUGCGUAAUAGCUCACUGGUCGAGUGACUCUGCGCCGAAAAUGUACCGGGGCUAAACGUAUCACCGAAGCUGCGGACUGUUCUUCGAACAGUGGUAGGAGAGCGUUCUAAGGGCUGUGAAGCAAGACCGGAAGGACUUGUGGAGCGCUUAGAAGUGAGAAUGCCGGUAUGAGUAGCGAAAGAGGGGUGAGAAUCCCCUCCACCGAAUGCCUAAGGUUUCCUGAGGAAGGCUCGUCCGCUCAGGGUUAGUCGGGACCUAAGCCGAGGCCGAAAGGCGUAGGCGAUGGAUAACAGGUUGAUAUUCCUGUACCACCUCCUCACCAUUUGAGCAAUGGGGGGACGCAGGAGGAUAGGGUAAGCGCGGUAUUGGAUAUCCGCGUCCAAGCAGUUAGGCUGGGAAAUAGGCAAAUCCGUUUCCCGUGAAGGCUGAGCUGUGAUGGCGAGCGAAUUAUAGUAGCGAAGUUCCUGAUUCCACACUGCCAAGAAAAGCCUCUAGCGAGGUGAGAGGUGCCCGUACCGCAAACCGACACAGGUAGGCGAGGAGAGAAUCCUAAGGUGAUCGAGAGAACUCUCGUUAAGGAACUCGGCAAAAUGACCCCGUAACUUCGGGAGAAGGGGUGCUCUGUUAGGGUGCAAGCCCGAGAGAGCCGCAGUGAAUAGGCCCAGGCGACUGUUUAGCAAAAACACAGGUCUCUGCGAAGCCGUAAGGCGAAGUAUAGGGGCUGACGCCUGCCCGGUGCUGGAAGGUUAAGAGGAGCGCUUAGCGUAAGCGAAGGUGCGAAUUGAAGCCCCAGUAAACGGCGGCCGUAACUAUAACGGUCCUAAGGUAGCGAAAUUCCUUGUCGGGUAAGUUCCGACCCGCACGAAAGGCGCAACGAUCUGGGCACUGUCUCAACGAGAGACUCGGUGAAAUUAUAGUACCUGUGAAGAUGCAGGUUACCCGCGACAGGACGGAAAGACCCCGUGGAGCUUUACUGCAGCCUGAUAUUGAAUGUUGGUACAGCUUGUACAGGAUAGGUAGGAGCCUUGGAAACCGGAGCGCCAGCUUCGGUGGAGGCAUCGGUGGGAUACUACCCUGGCUGUAUUGACCUUCUAACCCGCCGCCCUUAUCGGGCGGGGAGACAGUGUCAGGUGGGCAGUUUGACUGGGGCGGUCGCCUCCUAAAAGGUAACGGAGGCGCCCAAAGGUUCCCUCAGAAUGGUUGGAAAUCAUUCGCAGAGUGUAAAGGCACAAGGGAGCUUGACUGCGAGACCUACAAGUCGAGCAGGGACGAAAGUCGGGCUUAGUGAUCCGGUGGUUCCGCAUGGAAGGGCCAUCGCUCAACGGAUAAAAGCUACCCCGGGGAUAACAGGCUUAUCUCCCCCAAGAGUCCACAUCGACGGGGAGGUUUGGCACCUCGAUGUCGGCUCAUCGCAUCCUGGGGCUGUAGUCGGUCCCAAGGGUUGGGCUGUUCGCCCAUUAAAGCGGUACGCGAGCUGGGUUCAGAACGUCGUGAGACAGUUCGGUCCCUAUCCGUCGCGGGCGCAGGAAAUUUGAGAGGAGCUGUCCUUAGUACGAGAGGACCGGGAUGGACGCACCGCUGGUGUACCAGUUGUUCUGCCAAGGGCAUCGCUGGGUAGCUAUGUGCGGACGGGAUAAGUGCUGAAAGCAUCUAAGCAUGAAGCCCCCCUCAAGAUGAGAUUUCCCAUUCCGCAAGGAAGUAAGAUCCCUGAAAGAUGAUCAGGUUGAUAGGUCUGAGGUGGAAGUGUGGCGACACAUGGAGCUGACAGAUACUAAUCGAUCGAGGACUUAACCAAUUU
Molecule: ribosomal RNA, 2934 nt
Filed under: Bacteroides uniformis
Lineage: Bacteria; Pseudomonadati; Bacteroidota; Bacteroidia; Bacteroidales; Bacteroidaceae
Also listed under: 9 other names
Description: 23S ribosomal RNA
Rfam family: Bacterial large subunit ribosomal RNA
Source: RNAcentral